RNAcentral lists this ribosomal RNA (488 nucleotides) under uncultured bacterium. RNAcentral's name for it is "partial 16S ribosomal RNA". It matches the Rfam family "Bacterial small subunit ribosomal RNA", at positions 28 to 507 of the family's 1533-position model. The record is from RNAcentral.
GACGAACGCUGGCGGCGUGCUUAACACAUGCAAGUCGAACGGAAAGGCCCUGCUUUUGUGGGGUGCUCGAGUGGCGAACGGGUGAGUAACACGUGAGUAACCUGCCCUUGACUUUGGGAUAACUUCAGGAAACUGGGGCUAAUACCGGAUAGGAGCUCCUGCUGCAUGGUGGGGGUUGGAAAGUUUCGGCGGUUGGGGAUGGACUCGCGGCUUAUCAGCUUGUUGGUGGGGUAGUGGCUUACCAAGGCUUUGACGGGUAGCCGGCCUGAGAGGGUGACCGGCCACAUUGGGACUGAGAUACGGCCCAGACUCCUACGGGAGGCAGCAGUGGGGAAUAUUGCACAAUGGGCGGAAGCCUGAUGCAGCAACGCCGCGUGCGGGAUGACGGCCUUCGGGUUGUAAACCGCUUUUGUUCGGGAAGAAAUCCUCUGGGCUAAUACCCCGGGGGGAUGACGGUACCGGAAGAAUAAGCACCGGCUAACUACGUG